Molecule: ribosomal RNA, 429 nt
Filed under: Chloroflexota bacterium
Lineage: Bacteria; Bacillati; Chloroflexota
Description: Chloroflexi bacterium partial 16S ribosomal RNA
Rfam family: Bacterial small subunit ribosomal RNA
Source: RNAcentral
UGGGGAAUAUUGCACAAUGGGCGCAAGCCUGAUGCAGCCAUGCCGCGUGUAUGAAGAAGGCCUUCGGGUUGUAAAGUACUUUCAGCGGGGAGGAAGGGAGUAAAGUUAAUACCUUUGCUCAUUGACGUUACCCGCAGAAGAAGCACCGGCUAACUCCGUGCCAGCAGCCGCGGUAAUACGGAGGGUGCAAGCGUUAAUCGGAAUUACUGGGCGGAAAGCGCACGCAGGCGGUUUGUUAAGUCAGAUGUGAAAUCCCCGGGCUCAACCUGGGAACUGCAUCUGAUACUGGCAAGCUUGAGUCUCGUAGAGGGGGGUAGAAUUCCAGGUGUAGCGGUGAAAUGCGUAGAGAUCUGGAGGAAUACCGGUGGCGAAGGCGGCCCCCUGGACGAAGACUGACGCUCAGGUGCGAAAGCGUGGGGAGCAAACAGG